UACGGAGGGUGCGAGCGUUGUCCGGAAUCAUUGGGCGUAAAGGGCGCGUAGGUGGCCCGGUCAGUCCGUGGUGAAAGCGCGGGGCUCAACCCCGCGUCGGCCAUGGAUACUGCUGGGCUGGAGCACUGUAGAGGCAGGCGGAAUUCCGGGUGUAGCGGUGGAAUGCGUAGAGAUCCGGAAGAACACCGGUGGCGAAGGCGGCAUCCUGGACCAACACUGACGCUGAGUGAGCGAAAGCCAGGGGAGCAAACGGG
RNAcentral lists this ribosomal RNA (254 nucleotides) under uncultured bacterium. Its description in RNAcentral is "partial 16S ribosomal RNA". It matches the Rfam family "Bacterial small subunit ribosomal RNA", at positions 524 to 776 of the family's 1533-position model. The record is from RNAcentral.